This 1288-nucleotide ribosomal RNA is filed under the name Hydroptila sp. XG-2021. Its description in RNAcentral is "16S ribosomal RNA". Lineage: Eukaryota; Metazoa; Arthropoda; Insecta; Trichoptera; Hydroptilidae. The record is from RNAcentral.
AAUUUAAAAUUAUUUAUUUGGUUUAUGUUUAAGAAUUAUUUAUUUAAAAUAAUAUUUAAUUGAAAAAUUUUAGUAUUUAAUAGAAAAAAAAUAUAAUGUAAUUAAGUUUAUUAUUGUAAAAGAUUAUUUAAUUAAUUGAAAAUAGAUUUUUAGGAAUAAAAAGUUGUUUUGUAUUUUGUGAAUCAAAGUUUAUUAAAAAAAAUUUUUUUAUUAAAAUUUCUCUAAAUUAAUAGAGUUAGAUUAUUUUAUAAGUUAUUGUGAAAUAAUUAUUUUACAUUAUAAUCUAGAAAUGAAAAGUUAUUCGUGAUUGAUAUAUAUAGUUUUUAUAGAAAUAAAUUUAAUUUAAGUAACUGAUAUUUUAAGGUUAAUUUAGUUUAAUUUUAAAAAUUAGUUAAAAAUUUAAAAGGGGAUAAUCUUUUUUAAAAAUUUUUAUAUGGUGUGAAUUUAGAAUUAAUUUAUGGGGAAUAGAAAUUUCUUUAUUUUAUAGUAAUUUUAAAAUUAAAUAUAAUUUAAUUUUAAUUAAAAAUUUAUAUAAAUAAUUUAUUUAAUAUAAAAUUAAAUGUAAUUAUGAUAAAAUUAGUAUAUGUGAAUUAUUAAUUGUAAAUAAUUUAAAAAAGUGAUAAUAAUAAAAAAUGAAUUCGACAAAAUUAUUAAAUUUGAAUGUUUAAUAAAAACAUUGUUUUUUGAAUUUUAAUUUAAAAUAAAAUCUGCCCACUGAAUAUAAUUUGAAGGGCUGCAUAUUUAAUGUACUAAGGUAGCAUAAUCAAUAGUAUUUUAAUUGAAUUCUAGUAUGAAUGAUUUAACAAAAUUUAAUUUGUGUCUUUUAUUAAAAUAAAAUUUUAAUUUUUAGUAAAAAUGCUGAAAUAUGUGUAAAAGACGAGAAGACCCUAUAAAUCUUAAUUAUAAUUCGUUAAAGUGUAAAAAAAUUUUAUUGAAAAAAUAAUUGUAUUGGGGUGAUAAAAAAAUUUAUUAAACUUUUUAUUUAAAAACAUUAAUUUAUGAAUAUUUGAUCUAAAAUUUUUAAUUAGAAGAUAAGUUACUUUAGGGAUAACAGCGUAAUAUAAAAUUUAAGUUCGUAUUAAAUUUUAUGAUUGCGACCUCGAUGUUGGAUUAAGAUGAAUUUUAAAAGGAAAAUUUUAAUUAUUUAGUCUGUUCGACUAUUAAAAUCUUACAUGAUCUGAGUUUAAAUCGGUGUGAGCCAGAUUGGUUUCUAUCUUUAUUUGAGAUUUUUAAUUUAGUACGAAAGGAAUAAUUAAAAGAUUUUUUAAUUUAUUUUUUGAUUAUUAAU